UUAUUCUCAUUUAGCAAAGUUUUUAUUCAAAAGCUUCUCAGCACCAUCUAGUUAUCAGAAAGAAUGGAUAUCACCUUUUCCUGCCCACCCAAUCCCCAGUUCCACAGGCAGAAGUUAAACCAUUUGGCUAGAGUUCCCCCUAAUGAUUAUGACUGAGACCAUGAUAAGAUUUUGGUUGUUCUCACCCAACUGUCUCUAAGCCUCUACUCAAACCUGACUCAAGCAGAGAUGUGCACACCCCACAGUUCAGAACAGGAAGGAAUCAUGUCAGAUCUGAUCAACCUCCCAUUCUUGGGCUAUUAGAGGCACAAGAAAUUACCUUGAAAAAAUGGAAUUCAGUGACUGCCAUCUAGGAAAGACAGUGAUACUGUCCAGCAGCAUGCAGUUCCGAGAGCUCAACUCUUAGGCCACCCUCCCUCCACUCUACUCUAGGAACAAGGAGCAUUAGGUCUGUUUUCUCUCCAUACACCUCAAUCGCUCGUCCUCUCGUCUUAUUAAAACACAGACACAGAACCAAACUUUUUGACAGUUAAAGACAAACAAUUACAUCUAAUUAAAAUGCUAAGAGAUCCUGAGCUGUUAGAGAUGAGGAGAGUAGAUAGUAUGACCUGAUCUUCCCCCCUCUUUUUUUUCCUUUAACAGUAUUCUGUUUCAGCAUAAAGCACACUUUCUGAAGAGGUUCCUGGUGGAGACUGGAAAUCUGACUGUGUCCUGUGGCAACACACAGUCCCUUGCAUAACUUUGGCUUCAGUCCCUGGAUCUGUCCUUUGCAGCUACGUCAGGUUCCAUGGAAGGAGGAAAGAGCUGGAGGGCAGUAUCACUCAGCCAAAGCUCCCAUGGGGUCCCAUGCUGGCAGGAUAAUGGGUUCCUGCUCUAACACAGCUAGCACCUCUUCAGGGACAUGCUUCCUGUCCACCACCACUUCGUAGACAUACUCAGAGAACCACUCAUCUGUCAUGCACAGGAGGAAAUCUACGAUGACGAUCAGGCGGAACUAGAAGACUCAGACAUCUGCUUAACCUGCUCUCCUUAGGAAGGCCUCUCCAGUGGGUUAGGACUAUACAGAGGUGCCCCGGCACUAAUGCCCCAUUUAAGGUUGAAAGCUCAGCUGAGAGAAAAAGUGUGGUGUCAUCGGGUACCCAUCCUAGUAAUAGUUGCCUUCCAUAAGGAGGAUUAACCUGCAUCUCAGGCUCCACUAGGCCAACACAAAUUCCCCUUCAGAAACCAGAUCCUCAUCUCUCACCUUACACAAAAAUCAACUCAAGAUGGUCAAAGGCUGAAAGCUAAAACCUGAAACCAAUACAAGUUCUAGAAGAUAACAUCGGAAAAACUCUUCCAGACAUUGGCUUAGGCAAAGAAUUCAUGACUAAGACCCCAAAAGCAAAUGCAACAAAAACAUAAAUAAAUGGGACCUAAUUAAACUAAAAGGCUUCUGCACAGCAAGAGAAAUAGCAGUGUAAACAGACAACCCACAGAGUGGGAGAAAAUCUUCGCAAACUAUGAUUCCGACAAAGGACUAACACCCAGAGUCUACAAGGAACUCAAACAAUCGGCAAGAAACAAACAAACAAACAAAAAACCAAAUAAUCCCAUCAAAAAAUGGGCAAAGGACAUGAAUAGACAAUCUGAAAAAGAAGAUACACAGCCAACAAACAUGAAAAAAUGCUCAACAUCACUAAUUAUCAGAGAAAUGCAAAUUAAAACCACAAUGUGAUACCACCUUACUCCUGCAAGAAUGGCCAUAAUUAAAAAGCAAAAAAAUUACAGAUGUUGGUGUGGAUGUGGUGAAAAGGGAACACUUUUACAAUGCUGGUGGGAAUAUAAACUAGUACAACCACUAAGGAAAACGGUA
Molecule: long non-coding RNA, 1852 nt
Filed under: Homo sapiens (human)
Lineage: Eukaryota; Metazoa; Chordata; Mammalia; Primates; Hominidae
Description: PREDICTED lncRNA (TCONS_00108607)
Source: RNAcentral